Molecule: ribosomal RNA, 383 nt
Filed under: uncultured eukaryote
Lineage: Eukaryota
Description: partial 18S ribosomal RNA
Rfam family: Eukaryotic small subunit ribosomal RNA
Source: RNAcentral
CAAUAGCGUAUAUUAAAGUUGUUGCAGUUAAAAAGCUCGUAGUUGGAUUUCUGGUGGGAGCGAUCGGUCUGGCGCUUAGCGCGAGUACUUGCAUCGUCUCCGGCCAUCCUUGGGGAGAGUCUGUCUGGCAUUAGGUUGUCGGGCAGAGGAUCCUCAUCGUUUACUGUGAAAAAAUUAGAGUGUUCAAAGCAGGCUUAUGCCGUUGAAUAUAUUAGCAUGGAAUAAUAAGAUAGGACUUUGGUACUAUUUUGUUGGUUUGCGCACCAAAGUAAUGAUUAAUAGGGACAGUUGGGGGUAUUCGUAUUCCGUUGUCAGAGGUGAAAUUCUUGGAUUUACGGAAGACGAACUACUGCGAAAGCAUUUACCAAGGAUGUUCUCAUUAA